CCUACGGGAGGCCGCAGUGAGGAAUAUUGGUCAAUGGGCGAGAUCCUGAACCAGCCAAGCCGCGUGAGGGAAGACGGCCCUAUGGGUUGUAAACCUCUUUUGUCGGGGAACAAAACCCGGGACGUGUCCCGGACUGCGUGUAUCCGAAGAAAAAGCAUCGGCUAAUCCCGUGCCAGCAGCCGCGGUAAUACGGAGGAUGCGAGCGUUAUCCGGAUUUAUUGGGGUUAAAGUGUGCGUAGGCGGUCCGUUAAGUCAGCGGUAAAAUAGCGGGGCUCAACCCCGCCGGGCCGUUGAAACUGGCAGACUUGAGUGUGCGAGAGGUACGCGGAAUGCGCGGUGUAGCGGUGAAAUGCAUAGAUAUCGCGAAGAACUCCGAUUGCGAAGGCAGCGUACCGGCGCAAGACUGACGCUGAGGCACGAAAGCGUGGGGAUCGAACAGGAUUAGAUACCCUGGUAGUC
This 459-nucleotide ribosomal RNA is filed under the name uncultured bacterium. Its description in RNAcentral is "partial 16S ribosomal RNA". It matches the Rfam family "Bacterial small subunit ribosomal RNA", at positions 338 to 795 of the family's 1533-position model. The record is from RNAcentral.